CGAGUGGAGCCAUUGGAGUUGCCGCUCAUGGCGGCGCAGUUGGAGGAACGCCUCGGCAGUGGCGCGAAGUCGGCAACCCAGGUGGAGAGCUUCCAGCAGCGCUUGCGCGCAGGGGAGGUCGCAGAUGACAGAGAGCAGGACGCAUGGCGCGAGACUGGCU
RNAcentral lists this non-coding RNA (160 nucleotides) under Azadinium spinosum. The record is from RNAcentral. Lineage: Eukaryota; Dinophyceae; Gonyaulacales; Amphidomataceae.